AACGAACGCUGGCGGCAUGCCUUACACAUGCAAGUCGAACGGCAGCACGGGAGCAAUCCUGGUGGCGAGUGGCGAACGGGUGAGUAAUAUAUCGGAACGUGCCCGGUCGUGGGGGAUAACGUAGCGAAAGCUACGCUAAUACCGCAUACGAUCUACGGAUGAAAGCGGGGGAUCGCAAGACCUCGCGCGAUUGGAGCGGCCGAUAUCAGAUUAGGUAGUUGGUGAGGUAAAGGCUCACCAAGCCGACGAUCUGUAGCUGGUCUGAGAGGACGACCAGCCACACUGGGACUGAGACACGGCCCAGACUCCUACGGGAGGCAGCAGUGGGGGAAUUUUUGGACAAUGGGCGCAAGCCUGAUCCAGCAAUGCCGCGUGCAGGAU
RNAcentral lists this ribosomal RNA (381 nucleotides) under uncultured bacterium. RNAcentral describes it as "bacterial SSU rRNA". It matches the Rfam family "Bacterial small subunit ribosomal RNA", at positions 29 to 409 of the family's 1533-position model. The record is from RNAcentral.